This 202-nucleotide ribosomal RNA is filed under the name uncultured methanogenic archaeon. RNAcentral describes it as "partial 16S ribosomal RNA". It matches the Rfam family "Archaeal small subunit ribosomal RNA", at positions 321 to 526 of the family's 1478-position model. Lineage: Archaea; Methanobacteriati; Methanobacteriota. The record is from RNAcentral.
CCCUACGGGGCGCAGCAGGCGCGAAACCUCCGCAAUGUGAGAAAUCGCGACGGGGGGAUCCCAAGUGCCAUUCUUAACGGGAUGGCUUUUCAUUAGUGUAAAGAGCUUUUGGAAUAAGGGCUGGGCAAGACCGGUGCCAGCCGCCGCGGUAACACCGGCAGCUCUAGUGGUAGCAAUUUUAUGGGCCUAAAGCGUCCGAGCC